CGUGAGAAUGGAAUCGAAGUUAUGGACAAGAAUGGCAAGGUCAUAGGAGUGUCACAAAAAGCUGGGAAUAAGGCAGUACAAGACACAGCUUUAUCAAGAGCAGCCUUGUUUGGGGCAGCAGUAAUUAUUCCGGAUUCUCUUCUCAACUUCGUGCAACGGUGAAAAGAGUAGAGAUCCCUUGGGGUUUUCUACCUCUUUCUUUUAUAGUCCAG
This 212-nucleotide long non-coding RNA is filed under the name Gopherus agassizii (Agassiz's desert tortoise). RNAcentral's name for it is "lncRNA (ENSGAGG00000023125.1)". Lineage: Eukaryota; Metazoa; Chordata; Testudines; Testudinidae. The record is from RNAcentral.